GAUGAACGCUGGCGGCGUGCCUAAUACAUGCAAGUCGAGCGAACAGACGAGGAGCUUGCUCCUCUGACGUUAGCGGCGGACGGGUGAGUAACACGUGGAUAACCUACCUAUAAGACUGGGAUAACUUCGGGAAACCGGCGCUAAUCCCGGGUAAUCUAUUGAACCGCAUUGUUCAAUAGUGAAAGACGGCUUUUCUGUCACUAAUAGAUGGAUCCUCGCCGCAUUAGCUAGUUGGUAAGGUAACGGCUUACCAAGGCAACGAUGCGUAGCCGACCUGAGAGGGUGAUCGGCCACACUGGAACUGAGACACGGCCCAGACUCCUACGGGAGGCAGCAGUAGGGAAUCUUCCGCAAUGGGCGAAAGCUUGACGGAGCAACGCCGCGUGAGUGAUGAAGGUCUUCGGAUCGUAAAACUCUGUUAUUAGGGAAGAACAAAUGUGUAAGUAACUAUGCACGUCUUGACGGUACCUAAUCAGAAAGCCACGGCUAACUACGUG
RNAcentral lists this ribosomal RNA (497 nucleotides) under uncultured bacterium. Its description in RNAcentral is "partial 16S ribosomal RNA". It matches the Rfam family "Bacterial small subunit ribosomal RNA", at positions 28 to 507 of the family's 1533-position model. The record is from RNAcentral.